CAAAAAGACAGUCUCAGUUCAGAUUGUAGGCUGAAACUCGCCUAUAUGAAGUCGGAAUUGCUAGUAAUCGCAGAUCAGCAUGCUGCGGUGAAUACGUUCCCGGGCCUUGUACACACCGCCCGUCACACCAUGAGAGUCGAUAACACCCGAAGCCUGUAGUCUAACCAUAAGGAGGACGCAGUCGAAGGUGGGGAUUGAUAAUUAGGGUGAAGUCGUAACAAGGUAUC
Molecule: ribosomal RNA, 227 nt
Filed under: uncultured bacterium
Lineage: Bacteria
Description: partial 16S ribosomal RNA
Rfam family: Bacterial small subunit ribosomal RNA
Source: RNAcentral